This 463-nucleotide ribosomal RNA is filed under the name uncultured bacterium. Its description in RNAcentral is "partial 16S ribosomal RNA". It matches the Rfam family "Bacterial small subunit ribosomal RNA", at positions 28 to 507 of the family's 1533-position model. The record is from RNAcentral.
GACGAACGCUGGCGGCGUGCUUAACACAUGCAAGUCGAACGGUGAACCUCUUCGGAUGGGGUCAGUGGCGAACGGGUGAGUAACACGUGGGCAACCUGCCCCCGGCUCUGGGAUAACUCCAAGAAAUUGGGGCUAAUACCGGAUGUUCACCGCUUCCCGCAUGGGUGGUGGUGGAAAGGGUUUCCGGCUGGGGAUGGGCCCGCGGCCUAUCAGCUUGUUGGUGGGGUAGUGGCCUACCAAGGCGACGACGGGUAGCCGGCCUGAGAGGGUGACCGGCCACACUGGGACUGAGACACGGCCCAGACUCCUACGGGAGGCAGCAGUGGGGAAUAUUGCGCAAUGGGCGGAAGCCUGACGCAGCGACGCCGCGUGGGGGAUGACGGCCUUCGGGUUGUAAACCUCUUUCAGCAGGGACGAAGCGCAAGUGACGGUACCUGCAGAAGAAGCACCGGCCAACUACGUG